Mirounga angustirostris (Northern elephant seal) is the source of this 5306-nucleotide RNA transcript. It is a transcript of the gene named ectodermal-neural cortex 1, with no coding region annotated. The record is from RefSeq and is a predicted model, not a curated record. The transcript has 4 exons. NCBI's taxonomy places the organism in Eukaryota, Metazoa, Chordata, Mammalia, Carnivora, Phocidae.
GGUGGGGGAACUGUUCUCGGGGCGGAGACCUCGGGGGCCGCCGCUGCCCUCCCACAGCGUGCAGACGCUGGCCAGCGCCGGAGGGAUCUCCUCUGGUCCGGCCCGCCGGCCCGCGGGCCAGCUGCUGGGGAUCGGAGAGCCGAGCCGGGGUUUCCUUCCUCCACCAAAAGCGGCGCUUCGCUGGGGGUGGCUGUCGCUCGGCCUCGCACUUCGCAGCCCCCGGGGCCGAGCGCCCGGGAUUGUCGGCCCACGCUGCACCCCACCCGGCACAGGGGAGCGCCGCGGCCACGCGACACACCGUCUUCGUGACGGCACGUUCCCUGCGGUGGAAUGUCUGCGGGGAAUGAAUGAAAACUUUCUGAAAAAUAAUUUCUUCUCGUGCACGUAUUUGGCCUUUGGUGUGACAUUAGGAGUUUCAAAGGAUAGGAAUUGGUGGGCGUGGUGGAGACGAACCUUGAAACUUGUUCGGCGUGUAAUUUCGUGUUGCCCUCACAGGAGUGGAAACAAAAUGUCAGUCAGUGUGCAUGAGAACCGCAAGUCCAGGGCCAGCAGUGGCUCCAUUAACAUCUAUCUGUUUCACAAGUCUUCCUACGCCGACAGUGUCCUCACGCACUUGAACCUUUUACGCCAGCAGCGCCUCUUCACGGACGUCCUUCUCCAUGCCGGGAAUAGGACCUUCCCCUGUCACCGAGCGGUGCUGGCUGCCUGCAGCCGCUACUUUGAAGCCAUGUUCAGCGGUGGCCUGAAAGAGAGCCAGGACAGUGAAGUCAACUUCGACAACUCCAUCCACCCAGAAGUUUUGGAGCUGCUGCUCGACUAUGCGUACUCCUCCCGGGUCAUCAUCAACGAGGAAAAUGCAGAAUCGCUUCUGGAAGCCGGCGACAUGCUGGAGUUCCAGGACAUCCGGGACGCGUGUGCAGAGUUCCUGGAAAAGAACCUGCAUCCCACCAACUGCCUGGGCAUGCUCCUGCUCUCCGACGCGCACCAGUGCACGAAGCUGUACGAACUCUCCUGGAGAAUGUGCCUCAGCAAUUUCCAAACCAUCAGGAAGAACGAGGAUUUCCUCCAGCUGCCCCAGGACAUGGUAGUGCAGCUCUUGUCCAGUGAGGAGCUGGAGACAGAAGAUGAAAGGCUUGUGUACGAGUCUGCAAUUAACUGGAUCAGCUACGACCUGAAGAAGCGCUACUGCUACCUCCCAGAGCUGUUGCAGACGGUGAGGCUGGCUCUCCUGCCUGCCAUCUAUCUCAUGGAGAAUGUGGCCAUGGAGGAACUCAUUACCAAGCAGAGAAAGAGCAAGGAGAUUGUGGAAGAGGCCAUCCGGUGCAAACUAAAGAUCCUGCAGAACGACGGCGUGGUAACCAGCCUCUGUGCCCGGCCUCGGAAGACUGGCCAUGCUCUCUUCCUCUUGGGAGGGCAGACCUUCAUGUGCGACAAGCUGUACCUGGUGGACCAGAAGGCCAAAGAAAUAAUUCCCAAGGCUGACAUCCCCAGCCCAAGAAAAGAGUUCAGUGCGUGUGCAAUUGGCUGCAAAGUGUACAUUACGGGGGGGCGGGGGUCUGAAAAUGGAGUCUCAAAAGAUGUCUGGGUUUACGAUACCCUGCAUGAAGAGUGGUCCAAAGCUGCCCCCAUGCUGGUGGCCAGGUUCGGCCAUGGCUCUGCUGAACUGAAGCACUGCCUGUAUGUGGUUGGGGGGCACACAGCUGCAACGGGCUGUCUCCCAGCCUCCCCCUCAGUCUCUCUGAAGCAAGUAGAACACUACGACCCCACGACCAACAAAUGGACCAUGGUGGCCCCCCUCCGAGAAGGCGUUAGCAAUGCUGCGGUGGUGAGUGCCAAACUCAAGUUGUUCGCCUUCGGAGGUACCAGCGUCAGCCAUGACAAGCUCCCUAAGGUUCAGUGUUACGAUCAGUGUGAAAACAGGUGGACGGUACCAGCCACCUGUCCCCAGCCCUGGCGUUACACAGCAGCAGCAGUUCUGGGUAACCAGAUUUUCAUUAUGGGGGGAGAUACGGAGUUCUCUGCCUGCUCUGCUUACAAAUUCAACAGUGAGACUUACCAGUGGACCAAGGUGGGAGACGUCACAGCAAAGCGCAUGAGCUGCCACGCUGUGGCCUCUGGAAACAAGCUCUACGUGGUGGGAGGGUACUUCGGCAUUCAGCGCUGCAAAACCCUGGACUGUUACGACCCGACGUUAGAUGUGUGGAACAGCAUCACCACGGUCCCGUACUCGCUGAUUCCUACUGCAUUUGUCAGCACCUGGAAGCAUCUGCCUUCUUAAACGCAGUACAUCUUCAAGAAGGUGAGCAUGAGCCCAGAGUAUGUUGGCAAACACUUGAAUUCGCCCUAUCCUGGGUGUUUGAACCUAAUCCCAGACUUCCGGUCCCCGGGAACCGAGCAAAUAAAGCGUUCGGUCGUAUGGGAAACCCCACCUCCCCACCCUGGGUGCCGCCAGCCAGAGUGGAGCACAGAACAACGGAAUUGGACAAUGCUCCUUCGCCUUUGCAAAGGGCGGGGUGGACCUGAUCAAAGCCACUCGUGCGGUUUCCCACAGAGAGCAUGUUGGUUUAAACGUCCAAAGUUUUCUACACACAAGACAGUGUAAAAACACUUCAGCUGGAUGGGGUGACUUUAAAAGAGGUGCUGUGCAGGUAUCAGCCCUAAGCUGCAGAAACUUCCGGGACAUCUCUUUGAUCUCCAAACCUCGCUCCAUCACUUGGUGAGACAAAAUGCGAUUUCUACUUUGGAGAGGCCAAAUUUAAUGAAGAGAGAGAAAAGAAAAAGGAAAAGAAGUUGCUACAAGGCUCCGAUACAAUGCACUGCACCUUGUAAAUUCUCUAACUGGACAUGAAGGAGGGGGUGGGGGAGGGGAGGGGAUUUUCAGUGCAAGUAGCACAUGGUUUAAAUAUGAAUGAAUGAACCUGUGAUCUAGUCCUUGUCUUGUAAUUGUGGAUUAAUGUCAGCGUUAAUCAGCCCCUCAAAGGGAGAGAAAAGCCGGCCCUUUUCCCUUGCUGUACCGCAUUCAGCAUUUGAUUUCCAUGGGCUCUACCAUUUAUGUGUAAAAUUUGAAAUGGUUGUCACCUCUCUGAGGAGCAAGCCUGAAGCCUCCACCCCAGCUGCUGUUGGAGAUUGAAAGCCCAACUGUGGGGCCAGGAGGGAAGCUGGCUUGGCUGGCUGCUGAGUGAGGACCACUGGACUCCCUGCUAAUCUCUGAGGGGUUGUGCUCCCCAGGAAGGUUCUGAACAAUGGGGACAUUGUUGGUAGGUAUUUGGUAGAUGUUCUUUUCUAUUUAUAAGUGACUUUAAACUUUUCCCUUGGCUGUUAAAAAAUUUGUUAUAGAUUUAGCUAUUUAUUGUUUGAUGCCUGCAUGCUGAAACAAUGCUUACAGUUGUCUUCACGUGUAUGGAUGUGUGUGAAUGGUUGUAUGUUUUGCACAAUUUUGUGGCUGUUGUGAAGUGCUUUGCUGCACAAAAAUGAAAACUUGGCAGUUAACAAUUUGGAGUAUAACUGGAGGGUGGGUUGGGAAGGGGAGGGGGUAUUUUGUAAAUGUCAAGACAGGGAAGGAGUAUAAGACCGAAACAGGUUACAUUGUAGAGGUAGAGAAAGCAUGGAGGUCACUUUUCUUAGACUCAGUAACUUUUAAUGGGGUUUCAUGGGCUCUGGUCAUGCUGAUGGCUCAUGGGGUGAGGGAAGGCUUCCCUACCCUGUUCCUUCCCAUCUGAGUCACCUACUUCAGUCUCAGCUACUGAAAUUUGGAAAGGACCAAGUCGCUUUGCAGUUUUUUUCCUUUGUGUAAUAUCCUGAAAUCCUGGAAAAUUCUAUGGAAUAGUUCUGUAUAUAGGGCCCAGGUUAAAGGCAUUGUCCAAAGUUUAUUUAUUUAUUUAUUACCCUGUGAGAAUGCUUUGCCAUACCCACAGUUAACAGGAAAAAGCUGAGUUGUCACAGAUGUAAAUUAAUUCACUCACCGGAUUUGCUUGGCCUGGUGGGUUCAUUGUUCUGUCUUCUUGAUGUACAGUUUAGCAAGUGUUAAGAGUUCUCCAAGACCAUAUUCACAUCGGUACAAUGUAUACUUUAGUGCUCACCCUUGGGUAAGUCUCUAAAAAGAACUCUUUGGUGCGCAAAAGUGACCCAUUUGGCCAGGAAACACCAAAGAAUGAUGAGCAGUGGCCCCUGUUGAGAGGUUUUCCGGGAUCGUUGGGAAUCUGUUGUGAAUACAUUCUUUGCUAGUUCGAGUGCUUGUUUACUAACCGUGUGCCGUGAUAGGUAUUAGUGCUAGACUCAAUUAGGUGCUUGCUCACAGGUGUCUGGGGAAGACCAGAGUUUGCAACUCGCACCGCUUUCAUCGAUGUUUCUCACAUUACUUGUAGUUUAGAAAAUAGGGCUUAAGACUGAUAACAACCUUCUACAUUGUGAGUGUAUUUGCAUUGUCUAGUGACAGAUAAAAAUCCUUAACAUUUCUCUUUACCUGCAUACUUUAGACUAAUUGUACAUGUCCGUUCGUGCCAUGAAUAAGUGGGUUAUAGUUGGACCAAAAUAAAUGAGCCAUUGGAAUAGAAGCGUCACAAUACUUUUCCAGCAGGCAGUUCCUCGCUCCUAGAUGUGUUCUAAGCAAUGCAAAUGUCUAAUUGUACUCCGCCGGCGUGGGGGUGGCGUUCUAUUAUAGCAGCUCCGGCUCUCUAGUUUAUGAUGCAAAUCUGCCGAGAUGUGUGUGUCACUGCGUGACUUCUGCAAGCAGGAUGAAUUUUCUGCAGCUGUUUCAAAGUUGUGGUCUGUCCUUGAAUCCUCUGUUAAUUACUGUGUGCGAGCCAGAGGGAGCCGUGGUCAGGGUGGGCCCCCAGCCUGCAGGGAACUUUCUGGACUCCCGCUCUUUGAAUUGAUGUAGGCAUUUGGGCUCACUACUUGACCAUUCUCACCCUGUGAAACGUCCCCCCACUUUGAAGCAAAUACAAUUCACAGCACAGUGCACACAAAAACCUUGGCAUAAGACAGAGAAGGUUCUUCUUAUUCUGUGGACUGGUUGCUGUGGAAACGCAUAACAAAGGGCAGCCUUCCACUUCUGGUAUAAUUGUGGAGCCCCCUUUUCUCUGGGCUUGACACCUGUCUGAAUAAGAGUGAUUAGAGCUGAAUAAUCUCCCUCGCGGCUGUUGAAUAUGUGGUUCACGUACAAAACUCUGUGUAAGUUGAAGUAAAGUGUUCAUGUUCAUAUGUGCUUGUCUGCUACUACUACAUAUUUGAGGUUUUGUAAAACUGUUAUUUUUUUUUCACAAUGUGAAACUGAAGGUCAAAUAAAUUAUUAGAGAUUUUCUCUU